AUAUCAAUAAGCGGAGGAAAAGAAACCAACAGGGAUUGCCCCAGUAACGGCGAGUGAAGCGGCAACAGCUCAAAUUUGAAAUCUGGCUCUCGGGCCCGAGUUGUAAUUUGUAGAGGAUGCUUUUGGUGAGGUGCCUUCCGAGUUCCCUGGAACGGGACGCCAUAGAGGGUGAGAGCCCCGUCUGGUUGGACGCCGAACCUCUGUAAAGCUCCUUCGACGAGUCGAGUAGUUUGGGAAUGCUGCUCUAAAUGGGAGGUAUAUGUCUUCUAAAGCUAAAUACCGGCCAGAGACCGAUAGCGCACAAGUAGAGUGAUCGAAAGAUGAAAAGAACUUUGAAAAGAGAGUUAAACAGUACGUGAAAUUGUUGAAAGGGAAGCGCUUGUGACCAGACUUGGGCUUGGUUGAUCAUCCGGGGUUCUCCCCGGUGCACUCUUCCGGCCCAGGCCAGCAUCAGUUCGCCCUGGGGGACAAAGGCAUCGGGAACGUGGCUCUCUCCGGGGAGUGUUAUAGCCCGUUGCGUAAUACCCUGCGGCGGACUGAGGUUCGCGCAUUCGCAAGGAUGCUGGCGUAAUGGUCAUCAGUGACCCGUCUUGAAACACGGACCAAGGAGUCGUCUUCGUAUGCGAGUGUUCGGGUGUCAAACCCCUACGCGAAAUGAAAGUGAACGCAGGUGAGAGCUUCGGCGCAUCAUCGACCGAUCCUGAUGUUAUCGGAUGGAUUUGAGUAAGAGCAUACGGGGCCGGACCCGAAAGAAGGUGAACUAUGCCUGUGUAGGGUGAAGCCAGAGGAAACUCUGGUGGAGGCUCGCAGCGGUUCUGACGUGCAAAUCGAUCGUCAAACAUGGGCAUGGGGGGCGAAAGACUAAUCGAACCUUCUAGUAGCUGGUUUCCGCC
This 893-nucleotide ribosomal RNA is filed under the name Fusarium solani. RNAcentral's name for it is "partial 28S ribosomal RNA". It matches the Rfam family "Eukaryotic large subunit ribosomal RNA", at positions 40 to 962 of the family's 3401-position model. Lineage: Eukaryota; Fungi; Ascomycota; Sordariomycetes; Hypocreales; Nectriaceae. The record is from RNAcentral.